UAGGGAAUCUUCGGCAAUGGGGGGAACCCUGACCGAGCAACGCCGCGCGAGUGAAGAAGGUUUUCGGAUCGUAAAGCUCUGUUGUUAAGGAAGAACGAGUGUGAGAAUGGAAAGUUCAUACUGUGACGGUACUUAACCAGAAAGGGACGGCUAACUACGUGCCAGCAGCCGCGGUAAUACGUAGGUCCCGAGCGUUGUCCGGAUUUAUUGGGCGUAAAGCGAGCGCAGGCGGUUAGAUAAGUCUGAAGUUAAAGGCAGUGGCUCAACCAUUGUAGGCUUUGGAAACUGUUUAACUUGAGUGCAGGAGGGGAGAGUGGAAUUCCAUGUGUAGCGGUGAAAUGCGUAGAUAGAUGGAGGAACACCAGUGGCGAAGGCGACUCUCUGGUCUGUAACUGACGCUGAGGCUCGAAAGCGUGGGUAGCAAACAGG
This 429-nucleotide ribosomal RNA is filed under the name Bacteroidota bacterium. RNAcentral's name for it is "Bacteroidetes bacterium partial 16S ribosomal RNA". It matches the Rfam family "Bacterial small subunit ribosomal RNA", at positions 355 to 776 of the family's 1533-position model. Lineage: Bacteria; Pseudomonadati; Bacteroidota. The record is from RNAcentral.